GCGCAGGUGGCGAAAUUGGUAGACGCACUACCUUGAGGUGGUAGCCCCAGCAAUGGGAUGGAGGUUCGAGUCCUCUCCUGCGCACAA
RNAcentral lists this transfer RNA (87 nucleotides) under Candidatus Kaiserbacteria bacterium. RNAcentral's name for it is "tRNA-Leu". It matches the Rfam family "tRNA". Rfam says of the family: Transfer RNA (tRNA) molecules are approximately 80 nucleotides in length. Their secondary structure includes four short double-helical elements and three loops (D, anti-codon, and T loops). Lineage: Bacteria; Candidatus Kaiseribacteriota. The record is from RNAcentral.